Hirundo rustica (Barn swallow) is the source of this 734-nucleotide long non-coding RNA. RefSeq lists it as uncharacterized. Lineage: Eukaryota; Metazoa; Chordata; Aves; Passeriformes; Hirundinidae. The transcript is spliced from 3 exons. The record is from RefSeq and is a predicted model, not a curated record.
GAGAAGCCUUGAGGAAGAGGGAAGGAGAGGAGCAUGAAGAAGGAUCCUGAGGAGAGAGAAUCCCUGCUCUGAGGGUGUAAAUCCUGACGGCUUUGGAGGCUUUGGAUACUUCUGAAGAUGUACAUCAAGAGCUGUCAUGCCUUUUCUGAAGGAGAGUGCUCAGAAAUAGAAAGCUUCCUGAAGACAAUUAAUUCCAGUCCUGCCAGAGGAUCUUGGGACAGCAAUGUGGAAUAUUAAAGCAGCAGAUAUGAAAUAAACCCAAAACUUCAUAGGGAACCACUGGAAUGGAUGGGUUUGCUCGUUGUGUUUGUCCUAUCAGAUAUUAGAACGAGGCCCCUGUUGGAACGUGGCUGUCUGUUGGUCAUCCCCCAUAUUCCCUGGUAUUUCUGGUGUCCUCAGUCUCGGGAAGUUCAGUAAGUUGUGCUAUUUUUUUCCAGUAGAAAACUGUGUAAAUUAUAAUAAUUUGCAUAAAUUGUACACAACACUUCACUCUAGCUCUUUUGCAAAUGUAAAAGCAAAGCUAUUGUGUCUAUUCACGGACAGCUUGGCUGUUUCCUCUUAUGCCUGAAAGGGAAAAUUUGAAUUAUAACACCAGAGAUGUUCUCUGGUUGAUACUGUGGGACAGUUACAUUUUUCCUUUAAUUUUGAGCCUCCUUGUCCUAUUCUUGAUAAUGGCCUUCCAUGCAAAAGGAGUCUUGAAACAUACUUUUCUGUAAAUCUUUCCAUUUGCUCUG